This 499-nucleotide ribosomal RNA is filed under the name Bombus vosnesenskii. RNAcentral describes it as "partial 16S ribosomal RNA". The stretch from base 376 to 499 matches the Rfam family "Bacterial large subunit ribosomal RNA", at positions 2473 to 2597 of the family's 2925-position model. Lineage: Eukaryota; Metazoa; Arthropoda; Insecta; Hymenoptera; Apidae. The record is from RNAcentral.
GGCUUAUUGACUAUAAUUUUAAGUCUAUCUGCCCAAUGAUUAAAUUAUUUAAUGGCUGCAGUAUAAUUGACUGUACAAAGGUAGCAUAAUCAAUUGUUUUUUAAUUAAAAACUGGAAUGAAAGAAUAAAUGAGAUAUAUACUGUCUCAUAUAUAUUUUAUUAAUUUAAAUUUUUAGUAAAAAUGCUGAAAUUUAUUUAUGGGACGAUAAGACCCUAUAGAAUUUUAUAUUUAUAUUUAGAUUAUGAGUUUUUAUAAAUAUAAAUAUUUAAUUGGGAGGAUUAGUAAAUUUAUAAAACUUUAUUUUGAAUAUAAACUUUAAUUAAAGAAUAGUUAUUGAUCUUGUAUUAUAAAUUAAAAGAAUAAAUUACCUUAGGGAUAACAGCGUUAUAUCUUUUUAAAGAUCAUAUUAAUAAAGAUGUUUGCGACCUCGAUGUUGAAUUAAGAUAAAUUUUAAAUGUAGAAGUUUAAUAAUUAAGUCUGUUCGACUUUUAAAAUCUU